GGGAAACAGUUUGACGGGUGGCAGGCCAUUGAUGCCACGCCCCAGGAGGAAAGUGAAGGCGCGUUCUGUUGUGGUCCCGCCCCAUUGAAGGCCAUCAAGGAAGGGCUGAUCUACAUCGGCCAUGACACGCCCUUCGUGUUCGCGGAGGUCAAUGCGGACUUAGUGACUUGGGAAGAGGAUUCAGUGACCAGAAAACUCAAACAAGUGAAGCGGAUCAGGAACAUUAUUGGCAAGAAUAUCAGCACCCACAGUCCAUCCCGUGAGUCACAGGUCGGGCUGCAGCGACUGGAUGUAACUGACCAGUAUAAGUAUCCG
Long non-coding RNA from Haliotis rubra (blacklip abalone), 315 nucleotides. RefSeq lists it as uncharacterized. The transcript has 3 exons. The record is from RefSeq and is a predicted model, not a curated record. NCBI's taxonomy places the organism in Eukaryota, Metazoa, Mollusca, Gastropoda, Lepetellida, Haliotidae.